This 528-nucleotide long non-coding RNA is filed under the name Homo sapiens (human). RNAcentral describes it as "HSALNT0076332". The record is from RNAcentral. Lineage: Eukaryota; Metazoa; Chordata; Mammalia; Primates; Hominidae.
GUCGGCGCUGGAUGACAGCGGGGUCAGGGCCGCCAAGGCGGGGGAGGCCGAUCCGAGCAGCACUAACACGUCCUCUUCCUCCUUCAACUCCAAGGUCUCGGAUUUGACGAACAUCCUACCGAAGAGAGAAAGGGGAAAAAGGCAGUGAGGUGUAAGGAAAGAAACAGAGGCGCGAUCUUCGUGUCACAGGGGCGUGCUCCGGCGCGCACCCGAGAAGACCAGCUCCGAAUGGCGCGGAGCAGGAAGGCGAAGGAAGAAACCCAGGCAGUGCUAACCAAGGUAAAUACUGGAACAUUCAUAAUCAGAAGUUGUUAUUUUUUAAAAUGCCAGCCUUCUGGAGAAUGCCUUUUCUUUUGUAGUCUCUGUCAAACAUUGGAAGGAAAUUUCAGUUCAGAGAUGUCUGAAGUGGGACUCAGUGGUCAGCAGAAACCUGAUGACAGCAGAGUGGUCCAGCUUGUUUCUCCUGGGGGCGUUCUUCCGAGGAUAUUUGGGCUGCCUCCAGAAUCGCAGUGUCUUGGGCCGCCGCAA